AGUGAACGCUGGCGGUAGGCCUAACACAUGCAAGUCGAACGGCAGCACAGUAAGAGCUUGCUCUUACGGGUGGCGAGUGGCGGACGGGUGAGGAAUACAUCGGAAUCUACUUUUUCGUGGGGGAUAACGUAGGGAAACUUACGCUAAUACCGCAUACGACCUAUGGGUGAAAGCAGGGGAUCUUCGGACCUUGCGCGAUUGAAUGAGCCGAUGUCGGAUUAGCUAGUUGGCGGGGUAAAGGCCCACCAAGGCGACGAUCCGUAGCUGGUCUGAGAGGAUGAUCAGCCACACUGGAACUGAGACACGGUCCAGACUCCUACGGGAGGCAGCAGUGGGGAAUAUUGGACAAUGGGCGCAAGCCUGAUCCAGCCAUACCGCGUGGGUGAAGAAGGCCUUCGGGUUGUAAAGCCCUUUUGUUGGGAAAGAAAAGCAGCAGGUUAAUACCCCGCUGUCCUGACGGUACCCAAAGAAUAAGCACCGGCUAACUUCGUG
This 492-nucleotide ribosomal RNA is filed under the name uncultured bacterium. RNAcentral's name for it is "partial 16S ribosomal RNA". It matches the Rfam family "Bacterial small subunit ribosomal RNA", at positions 29 to 507 of the family's 1533-position model. The record is from RNAcentral.